Molecule: non-coding RNA, 1394 nt
Organism: Nelumbo nucifera (sacred lotus)
Lineage: Eukaryota; Viridiplantae; Streptophyta; Magnoliopsida; Proteales; Nelumbonaceae
Source: RefSeq, a predicted model, not a curated record
AAAAACAAGUGAAUGGGAUCGCACCAAAACAGUGCGACCCAGUAGGAAAAGAAAAGUUUAAGACACGUUUGAGAAAAUUUAUCGGGCUUUGUCAGAACAGGAGAUUGACAGUCUUGUCUCCCUUGCAAGUAGCACCCAACGCUUGUAUCUCCGAUGACUUCUCCGAACAUCUCUUUGGAAGAUAUGUGCCAAAUCCAGGAACGUAUUUGUUCCCAAGCUUGAGAAAUGGACUCUCCAAGCUCUCAACCUGAAAACAAGAAUGGAAAAUCAAACAUGAGUUGGACCCAAGAUAUGGAUAAGGUUGACAAAAGUUUCAAAGCACCUGCCUACACUACAGCGGCACAUGCUAUUAGCACGGAGUUUUCAAUUGACUAUAUACAAAGACACAUACGGAAUAGGCUGAAAACAAUCAAGCGGAACUUUGUCAUAUUAAAAAAAACUUUUGAAUCAAAGUGGCUUUGCAUGGAAUGAUUCAACCAAGACAACAGAUGCAACACCUGAUGCUUGGGCUACAUAUAUUGAGGUAAAAUAGAUUAAUAACACUCUCUUUAAGCACUUAAUUUUCGAAUUAGUAUGAAAGAUGACUUAUAAUGAAACUCCCAUGGUAACUGAGCAAGCACAUCCAAAGGCAAAGCAAUUUAGACGAAAAAGCAUUCCCAACUAUGACCAAUUGGCAUUGGUCCGUGGAAAUGAUCAAGUGACUUGAAAUGGUGCUUUCACAGCCAAGGAGCUAAACGAGCAAGAUGCAAUUUCCACAACUGCUAGUGCAACACCGAAUGCUGAGCAUGUGUUUAAUGACAUUGAUGAGGUAGAGAAUUUUGGAGAUCUUAACCUUUAGGAAAGGCCAGUGGAGACAAGUAGUUCUGUAGAGGGAAGAGUUUUAGGAAAACAAAAGUCAUAUGCUUCAAUUGUCAUUGAACAAGUGCUAGAUAUUGCUACACAUCUUGGGAAACUUGCAUCUACAGUUGAGAGAGGGUUUGGUUUAUUCAACAAGGAGAAAGUGUAUGCAAAUGUUAUAAGUCUAGAAGGAUGUUCGGUGGAAUUUCUAAUGAAAGCAUAUGACUUCUUAGUUGAAUCUAAGAGUUGAGUUAUGACAUUUUAUGGAGUGGAGCCACAUCUGAGUAAGACGUGGUUUCAAAUGAAGUUGGGGCCUCCAUAUUGAAGGAAGGAAUGAGAGACUUGAACUUUACAACUAACAAACUAGGUAUUAAGUAUUAAACUAUAUAUGACAAAAACUUAUUUUGAUGGUUAAGCUUUUGCAUCCAUUUUGUAUAUUUUUUUGGGAUGCAUUAGCAAUUUGAUGGUUGUCCCCUUUUUGUGAUGGUUAAUCUACUUUAUUUUGAUGAUUAUUAAACUAUACUUGUGUUAAGUGGAAUGUAUGGUUAUAUUCUACA